RNAcentral lists this long non-coding RNA (4736 nucleotides) under Daucus carota (carrot). Its description in RNAcentral is "long non-coding RNA (DCAR_LNC002484)". The record is from RNAcentral. Lineage: Eukaryota; Viridiplantae; Streptophyta; Magnoliopsida; Apiales; Apiaceae.
CCUGAGGAUCAUGUUGCAGAAAAGUGGAGAACCAACAGGCACUGGAUAAUAGAGUUUAAUAAACUUUUGGCAUCUGAUUCUCGCAUUCAAAUUUGCCUUGCACCUUUGGGUGAUGGAAUGACCAUCUGCAAGAGAUUGAUCUGAAAUACCACUAAGAUAUCACUGCAACACCCCGAAGCUUUGCAAGAUUGAAGAGUUGUCCCAUUAGAAUAACCAUAUGCAUAGAAAUUUAUAAGCGAAGUUUGAGAACGCGAUAUUGUUAUGUUUGAUCAUCUUGUAUAGAAAUUUGGAAGACUUGCAGCUUGACGAUCUUAAAUUUAUAUGUUGCGAGUCUCUUUGUAACAGUGACAGUAUAUGACAAUCUUUGUAAGAUUCAUAUUAUAUUUCAAAUUAAUUCUUUACCAUUGGUUGAUAUACAAUAUUCAAUUUUUAAUCAAAAUAUGUAUCGGUUCGAAACAAUUUGGAUCGGCCGAAAUCGAAUCAGUCUGGUUGGUUGUGUCAACCCAUGUCACCCGUCACCCACCCUGCAUGACAUUACUCGUUUGAGGUUCAUUUUUGGUCUUCAAUUUAUCUCGGACUCACAAGAACCUUAUCAAGACUCCCGACAAAAUUUUCAUUAGAAUCCUAAUAAGCCCUAUCUCAUUCGUGUAUAUUUUGAUGGAUCCAUUCCCGAGUCCUACAACUCUUUCCAUUUCUUUUUAUCAUUGAUUUCAAGCAAAUACUUUCAUAUAUAAUUUUCAGAUAUCUCCAAAAUAUAUCAGCAUGACCCCAUUAAGUGUACAUGCGAAUACUACCAAAUAUACAUGCGAAUAGUACCAAAUAUACAUGCUAAUAUUUCAAAAUAUAAUUCUUAGAUACCUUCAAAUCUAAGUUCAUUCAACUCUGAAUUCCAAGGCAAAAAAAAAAAAAAAAAGACUUAUCACUUUAUCAGGCAUCUCUCCCCAUCAAAAUUCCUGCUUCCUUAGCUUGGUAUCAUGAUCCAUGUAUUCAUAUAUGUUUUAAGAGGUUAAGAAUUCUACCUAGUUCUCUGGAAGCUAAUUCUAGUGUUUCUUUUAGUUUCCUGGAUCAUGUUUGCUUUCACAGCUUUUAUUUCAUUAUAUUUCUCUGCACAAAUAUGGGUCUCUUGUACUAAAAUUAAGUACAUGAGUUAUGUUUGGUUUGGUUUGGUUUGUUUUGUCAAGGGACUAAGUAUGUAAUAGAUGUGUGAAUUUAAAUAUGAAAUCUUUGUCCAUGAUUGCUUCAUUUAGUUUAUGUUUGUGAAAGAGAUAAGUUAGAAUUUGAUGAAAAGGUUAGUCUUUGUCAAUGAAAAAGUGGCUUGUUUCUUUAUAUUCCUUCAAUUUUUUUAUGAUUCUCUUCGUGUUGGAAUGAGUUUGUCUGAUGCUGAUAUUGCAAUGCAUCAAUUCUUUUAGUAGUAUAUGAUAAUGGCCAUUUUUGUCGAUUGAAAAACACAUAAUGUUAGAACAGGUUGCUUUGGAUGGGUCGGUCUAGAGAUCUAACAUGUUUUUGUGGACAUUUGAUUUUGACAAAUAAAAGUGGACUAAUGAAAUUAAGGACGAAAAUUAUGUUCUGAAGUAGUGGUAAUCUUGAUUGUUGUCAAAGUUUAUCGCCUUUUUCUGUCAGUACAAGUUACAUUAAUAUAGAAAUGUUCCUGAUGCAUUUGAUGAUGGUGCUUUUGUGAAGUUUCCCACAUAUUAAUAUCUUUGUCUGUUUUAGAUUUUGCAAGACUUGUAUUUGAAAUUAACAAGAGUAAUGGAAAACAAAAAGAAGGAAUUGCUUGGACCAAACAAAGGUUUAUUGCAGAGCCCAGAGUUGUAUCAGGUAAAACUCUAAUAUAGCCUCAUCUCAUCCCUGUCUAUUAUUCUCCAUUUGGUAUGUAGCGAAAUCACCAAAUCUGGAUUUCACAACUAUGAUGCAGUAUAUCCUAGAGAGUAGUGUGUUACCAAACGAACCAGAGCUUCUUGAGGAGCUAAGGGCUGUCACAGCAAGCCAUCCCAGGUAAAUUUAUCUUUUGUCUAUAAUUCGUACAUGCUGAGAAGGAUAGGUCUAAUGCUUCCAGUACGAGCUUUUCCUGAUAUCGGCCUUUUCCCUAGUAUCUGAAAUAUGAAUUAACCUUCAGAAUAAGGACUAAUUAGUUAAUUAGUUUGAAGUUUUAGUAUUCUGAGACUAACAAAUAUGACUAUAUGAGCUUUUCGGAUCCAAGAAAAUAACAACUUUGCUGGAAUUUCUUUUAGGGCCUAUAUGGGAACAGCCCCGGAUGCAGGCCAGAUGGUGUCCAUGAUCUUACAGCUGGUAGAUGCUAAAAGAACUAUUGAAAUUGGAGUCUUUACUGGAAAAGAUAUUUACAAUCUAUUUAAUUGCUAAAAAAAAAUAUACAGGAGUAUUGCCCGAGAUGUUCUACCUACUAAAAACGAAUCAAAACGAAUCAAAACAAACAGGCACGUUUGGUUUUUUUAUUAUCCGUGCAUUAUUAAAUGUGUGUGAAUAUUACUACUACCAAAACUUUUGUCAGAUAUCUCCAGAUAAUAACGUGUGCAUUAUUAUGUUCAUUCAACUGUGAAUUCCAAUCAAAAGAAAACCAUCAGGUACUAUUUCCCUUCAUCAUUAUCCCUGCUUCUUAGCUUAGUAUCAUCAUCAAUGUAUUCAUAUAUGUUUGAGGAGUUUUAUUAACUCUAGCUAGUUUUCUGUAAAUUAGUUCUGGUAAUUCUUUUUGUUUCCUGGAUCAUGUUUGCUUUCAUUUAAUUGUAUUUAGUGCACAAACAAAUCAUGAUUUAAGCUCUCUUGAACUUAAAAGAAGUGAUUGUAUAUAGCCCAUGAACCAAUGACAAACCAGCUAUGUUUGUCCCAUGAUUACUUCGUUUAGUUUAAGUUUGUGUAAGAGAAGAGUUAAAAUUUGAGGGAAAGAGUGAGUCUUUGUCAAUGCAAAAGUGGCUUGAUUCUUUAUUUUUUUUCUUCUUCUGAUGUUUUUCAGGAAACAAAGUUGAAAAGUCGAUAUAGGAAUCAAUCUUUUUGGUAGUAUAUACUGUUCUAUGAGUUGAUCAUAAGAAUGGGCAUUGAAAACAUAUGAUAAUGGACAUUUUUGUCGAUUUGGAAACACAAAAUGGUAGAAUGUGUUAGAUGGUUCAUUCUAGGUAAAGCUAGUGUUUGUGGACAUUUGAAUUUGGACAAGUAAAAGUGGACUAAUGAAAUUAGAGAAGGCAUCCGUGUGCUCAACUAGUGCCGAUCUUGAUUAAUGUUGUGAAAGUUUAGCGAUUUUUCUGUCAGUAUAAGUUACAGUAACAUAGAAAAGUAGCGCUAAUUGUUAUGCGGAUUUGUGAAGUACAUUUGAAUGUUCCUGAUGCAUUUCGUGAUGGUGCUUAUGUGAAGCUUACCGCAUAUUACUAUCUUUGUCUGUUUUAGAUAUUGCAAGACUUGUAUUAGAAAUUAGCAAGAGUGAUGGAAAAAGGCAUAUUGCAGAGCCCGGAGUUGUAUCAGGUACAAUUCUAAUAUAGCCUCAUCUCAUCUCUGUCUAGUAUUCUCCAUUUGGCAUGUGGUUAAAUUACCAAAGCUAAAGAUUUCACAACUAUGAUGCAGUAUAUCCUAGAGAGUAGUGUGUACCCAAAUGAACCAGAGCCUCUUAAGGAGAUAAGGGCUGUCACAGAAAGCCAUCCCAGGUAAAUUUAUCUUCUGUCUGUAAUUGUUACAUGCUCAGAAGGAGGCCUAAUGCUUCUGGUACGGUACUAGCUAUUCAUUGUUCAGUUAUUACUUAUUAGGCGAACCAUCAAAUGAUAUAUCAGCCUUUUCCCUGGUAUUUGAAAUAUGGGUUCAAGCUUCAGAAUAAUGAUUUAGUUUAUUACUUUGAAGUAGUGUUCUGAGACGAAAAAAUAUGAGCUUUUUGGAUCAAGAAAAUAACUACUUUUCUGGAAUAUCUUUUAGGGCCUAUAUGGGAACGGCCCCGGAUGCAGGCCAGAUGAUGUCCAUGCUCUUACAGCUGUUAAAUGCUAAAAAAACCAUCGAAAUUGGAGUCUUUACUGGAUAUUCCCUGCUCUGCACUGCUCUGGCAAUUCCAGACGAUGGCAAGGUUCUUCUCGUCUUCUAAAAUUUCAUUAGUAUCUAAUAUGCACAUGCAUGUAUAUGCAUUCUUGAAUCUCGCUCAUCAAUUUUGACAUGGCAAGCAGAUUAUAGCAGUAGAUUUGGAUCUUGAUGCAUAUGAGAUUGGUUUGCCAAUUAUUAAAAAGGCCGGAGUAGAACACAAAAUUAACUUCAUUCAUUCCGAGGCCUUGCCAGUCUUAAAUAACCUCCUUGAAACUGUAAGUUGUAAUCAUCUCAUUUUGUGCCAAUAAUCCCAGACUAUAUAUCUUAACUUAAUCUGAAUUCUCCAGCAGUCUGACAAUGAAGGAAGUUUUGAUUUUGCUUAUGUUGACGCUGACAAGAUAAAUUACCGCAACUAUCAUGAAAGACUGUUGAAAUUGUUGAAAGUUGGUGGCAUAGUUGUGUAUGAUAACACACUCUGGGGAGGGAGUGUUGCAAUGCCUGAGGAGCAGGUUGCAGAAGUGUGGAAAUCCAACCGGAACUCGGUAAUCGAGUUUAAUGAAGUCUUGGCAUCUGAUUCUCGCAUCCAAAUUUGCCUUACACCUUUGGGUGAUGGAAUGACCAUCUGCAGGAAAUUGAUCUGAAAUGCUGCUCAGAUAUCCUUGCAACAUCCCGAGGUUUUGCGAGAAUAAUUUGAAUUAUGUAUGAAUUUUCCAUUAAGUACUGGC